Long non-coding RNA from Hypanus sabinus (Atlantic stingray), 2226 nucleotides. RefSeq lists it as uncharacterized. The transcript has 4 exons. NCBI's taxonomy places the organism in Eukaryota, Metazoa, Chordata, Chondrichthyes, Myliobatiformes, Dasyatidae. The record is from RefSeq and is a predicted model, not a curated record.
UAACCGUAGAUUGGCAGCACCUGCGCGUCUGUUUCCGAGGCCCCGCCUCCCGAUGAUGUAACAAUCUCUUCGCGCAUGUUCACAGUCUCCGGGUGGACGGUGUUAUCCUCUCCGCUCAGAGCUGAAGUGGGUCGGCUGUGUGUUCGGGAAAGACUUUCGUCUCUUCCGUCGGGAUCACUGUCUGCGGGCCGAAGAUAUCACUUUCCCAUCGUUAGACCUGCAGUGAGAGAUUUAUUGGAAGAAAAACCACGACUGAAGACGAGGGAACAGCAACAAGUGAACCAGCCCGAGGACUGAGAGCACCGACUGGAGAGAACCCAUCUGACUCGGAGAUUCCAGUGAUUCAGUCAGGAGAAAGUUUGGGCUAUGCGUUAAGAAUCUUGCCGGCGCUGAAGCGCCGAUGAAAUGCCCUGGCAUCAGGCUGAGGACGUCCCCGAGUAUCACGCAUGCGUGUAGUACACUGAAGGCCUUGAAAAUGUCGGGUGCAGGAACUGGCAUCAAACCGACGGACCGAGCGGUCUCCGACCUCUCGGCGACACAUCAGACUCCGGCCGCAGGAGACGCUUCACAAACGCCCCAACAUCCCUUGGAGGGAAAUGGACAUAAAUCAAAAAACGGACAUUUAUUCCGCUGUGAUGUGGAGUUUGAGGCCGGAGCGGGAGGCGAAAUCAGUGGGGGUAACGCCCUCUGGACGUCCACCUCUGCGACUGGUGGUAACAAGUGAUUGGCAUCGCUUUGCACCAAUGGGAAUAGCACAGCCCUUGAAUCCUCUGUUGACAGCGGUGGGGGUGGGCUGGUCACGUGAUUAUUAGCCCAGCUAUUAAACUGAUAAAGCCCGAGCUCAGCAGAGCAUGGAUGACGUAAGACGCUGCGCACGUAAGGGCAGAUCCCGGUGUGGGAAGCCCAUGCGUGACGUUAGGCACGAGGGGGUUCUGUGUGACGUCACCUGUGGGGAUGCGCUCGCAUUUAAAUGCACCUUAAUGUGCGUUUCUUAUGAUUUCAGAGGGACAACAUUAAUCACGGGUUUCAUUACCGAAUCCAGUGUGAGAUGUAAAGCCCCCUGUAAUGUGUCCGGCAUAUCCCUUUUGAUUUAUUUGUGUGUGGAAAUUAGCAGUCCCCACUGUGAACUGACUGGUGCGCCAGUAGUUGUGAUGGCCGAGUGAAUCCUAUCCCACAGUCUAAGCAGGUGAACGGCUUCUCCCCAGUGUGAAAUCGCUGAUGACUCUGUAGGCUGGAUAACUGAGUGAAUCCCUUCCCACAGACUGAGCAGGUGAAUGGCCUCUCCCCAGUGUGAACUCGCUGGUGUGUCUGUAGGGUGGAUGACUGAGUGAAUCCCUUCCCACAGACUGAGCAGGUGAAUGGCCUCUCCCCAGUGUGAACUCGCUGGUGUCUCUGUAGGGUGGAUGACCGAGUGAAUCCCUUCCCACAUACUGUGCAGGUGAAUGGCUUCUCCCCAGUGUGAACUCGCCAGUGACUCAGUAGGGUGGAUGACCGACUAGAGUGAAUCUCUAGAUGAGACUAGAAUUCGGGGACAUCGCCUCAAGAUUCAGGAGAGAAGAGUUAGGACGGAGACGAAGAGAAACAGUUUUUCCCACAGAGUGGUGAAUCUGUGGACUUCUCUGUCCAGGGAAGCAGCUGAGGUUUCCUCACGAAGUAUAUUUAAGAUACGGUUAGAUAGGAUUUUGCAGAAUAAGGUAAUGAAGGGUUAUAGGGAAAAGGCAGGUAGAUGGACCUGAGUUUCCUGACGGAUCAGCCAUGAUCUUAUUGCAUGGCGGGGCAUACUCAGUGGGCCAAUGGCCGACUCCUGCUCCCAUUUCUUAUGUUCUGACGUGCGGCCUGAGUAGUGUCUUGUAAAGUAUCAGCAUUAUCUCCUUGCUAAUAUAUUCUACUUCACUUUAAAUAAAGCCAGCAUUGUAUUUGCCUUCUUUACCACAGACUCAACCCGGAAGUUAAUCUUCUGGGAGUCUUGCCCAAGGUCCUGGUGGCGUAGUGACGUCAGCGCCGGACUCCGUAACGGAGGUCCCCGGGUUCGAAUACAGUCGGGCCUCUCCUGAGUACGCUUUCCAUCCGUGCCGGGUUGAGUGUUGAGCUCGCAAUUCGACCUCAUAAAGAUACUGUGAAAUGUCUGUGUGAGGAGAAGUGCCCCACACAACCUUACGAUCCGCGCCUUGUAAGGCAUGAAAAUGUCCGACACUGCCCUGAGUCAGUCCUGAGUUGACGACAUCA